Non-coding RNA from Python bivittatus (Burmese python), 1625 nucleotides. The record is from RefSeq and is a predicted model, not a curated record. Lineage: Eukaryota; Metazoa; Chordata; Lepidosauria; Squamata; Pythonidae.
GAACAACGCUUGUAUUUAUCACCCGUCUCCCACGAUCAAAAUUAGCAACUAAAGAAAUAGUGGUGUGUGAUGAUGGCCUAGAAGAAUGUUAAUGCUUGGCAAGGAACAGCAAAGUUCGGGCAGAUGUUGCGGCCUGCUGAGUCAAAUGCUGUACAGGGAUGUUUUUUGACUUCUCAAAAGGAGAAGGUGGAUUAUAGAAUCAUAGCAUGGAAGGAUUGGAAGAAAAAUUGAAGAUCAACUAGUUCUUCUGGUCAGCUCAUCCAUCGACCAAGGUCAUAUUUUUCAUUCUGGAACAGUUCAUACCAUUAAGAAAUUAUCCUGAUGUCCAACCGAAAUGUACUUCCUUGUAAUUUAAAGCGAUUCUUCCUUGUCCUGUCUUCUGGAACAACUCUGAAUAUUUCCCUCCCAUCUUCUACAUCCCAGAGAUUCAGUGUUCCAUCCUCCCAUUUCCUCUACAACAACAACCCCCUGAGGUAGAUUGGGCUGAGAGAGGGUGGUUCGCCCAGAGCUUCAGUGGCUGAAGAUGGUUUAGAUCAUGGCUCUUAAUCCAAGACUUUCACCACUACACCACACUGACUCUUUGUAUAGCAGCACAGUUUCCUUCCCAAUCUGAACAACUCCCUGUCCUCUUCUCCAAAUUAUAAAUUUUAAAGUUAUAGUACUAAUAUUGUUGCAUACAACUAUACUUUCAUUAAUUAGUAAAACAUAACUAAGCUUGAAAAACUUCCCAAAGUUUCACAGCAACUUAUCAAAACUCAUGGUGGCAGCUGGGUGUCUCCAGCAACCUUUCCGUCGGUUUCACAAAAAAAGAACAGGGAGGACUGUCUGCUAAUUGUAUUUCCUGAAAUUUAUUUUGCGUAUAACUACAUAAACACACUGCAUAUAAAGUAAUCUGGAUAUGAAUCAGGAAGCAGACAAAGUGAAGGAAUCCCCAAAGAUGUUCACCAUGUAACUUCCAGCAUCAAACAAGACUCAACCAUUUUGCCUUAUUUAUUUUCCAAAUUGUAAUUUUAGUCAUCACCUUCAAGCUGCUGGACUCCAAGUGGCUGGAAAUUAUGCUGGCUUAAGAAAUCCCUUUGACCCCCUUCUUCUGUUUGGCUAUAGUGAUGGCCUGGUGUUCUGUCCAGACCACAUUGACUAUUGCCCCAGUUGGUGGGGUCCUCUGCUUUUUUACCUCUCCCACCCCUGCUGGGAAAACAGGGACAAAUAGCUUCUGUGAGAAGAUCUUUGGGGACACCUGGCAUCCAUUGAUGGAUCUCCUAUCCAGUCUGGUCCAUUGACUAGUAAAACAAUGAAAGGAUACACCACUCUUUUAGCAUGAUGGUGGUGACAUGCCAGCAGAAUCAAGUUAGGCAUUUUCUGAAUUUUUGACAGGCCAAGCCCAAAAGGUUCACCAUCACUGUCCUAAGCCAUGUUUUCUAGGUGACCUCCAACUCUUUGCAUUGUAUCUGUGAGUUACAGGCAGGCAGUGCUGUUGGAAUAAAAUGCUUGCUUAUCAGAAACUUGAUUCAGGCUUCUGCAGUGUGGCCAGGCCAGUGGCCGACACACGAACCAGAAACCUAGGAUGAGGGAAGGCACCAGAUAAUAAAAGCACCUAAAAGCACGAUAAGGCGAUCACUGCUUGA